RNAcentral lists this transfer RNA (75 nucleotides) under Candidatus Pacearchaeota archaeon CG10_big_fil_rev_8_21_14_0_10_35_13. RNAcentral describes it as "tRNA-Arg". It matches the Rfam family "tRNA". Rfam says of the family: Transfer RNA (tRNA) molecules are approximately 80 nucleotides in length. Their secondary structure includes four short double-helical elements and three loops (D, anti-codon, and T loops). The record is from RNAcentral. Lineage: Archaea; Nanobdellati.
GCUCGGGUAGUUCAGUUUGGAUAGAAUGCGUCCCUCCUAAGGACGAGGUCGAGGGUUCAAGUCCCUCCCCGAGCG